AUGUUGUUUGUCCCUUUUAGCCCACCAUAGCUGACAUCCUGAACAUUGGUUGGUGGGCUUCUGCAGCAGCCUGGUCGAUAUUGCAGCAGUUGUUUGUCAGCAUCACAUUUCCUAAUUUCCUUGAGGCAGCGGACCUAGAUGAGGACCUGUCUGAAAAACCAUCUAAAGAGAGUUGCAUCAAAGAGCAGAGACAGUAUUUCUUUGGGAACAAUGAGACAACUUUUAAGGGGACUGUGGAUUGUCAGAACUGC
This is a long non-coding RNA of Sinocyclocheilus grahami, 251 nucleotides long. RefSeq lists it as uncharacterized. NCBI's taxonomy places the organism in Eukaryota, Metazoa, Chordata, Actinopteri, Cypriniformes, Cyprinidae. The transcript is spliced from 3 exons. The record is from RefSeq and is a predicted model, not a curated record.